Long non-coding RNA from Oncorhynchus keta (chum salmon), 1010 nucleotides. RefSeq lists it as uncharacterized. The record is from RefSeq and is a predicted model, not a curated record. The transcript has 4 exons. Lineage: Eukaryota; Metazoa; Chordata; Actinopteri; Salmoniformes; Salmonidae.
UGAAAGUAAGUGAAUUGAAAUUGAAUCCCUCCUCAAUGGAAAAAUAAUUGGCAGUUUUUUUUUAUUCCAAACCUGAAUUCAAUUUGUUUUAAUCCCCUUUACUGAAUGGAGUUUGGUGGGGAGAAACAAUUUAAUGGCCCCUGCUUUCCUGCUGUUGGGUUAAAGAAGCUCUCUGCGAGGAGGCAUUCCGGCUCAAACAUACUCUCCAGUGGCUCAGAAUCCCAGGUUUUUAGGAGCAACUGCGCAGCCAUUGUGGAUAUGGUCCAUAACUGGCCAGCCUGAGCCAUCACACACAGCCAUCCAAAUCCAUUACCCAGAUGUUAGUAGAGAAUAUAUGGGACCGUUCAGGAGGGACAGAUUGACUGGGCUAUUUUGAGCCGCCCAGGCAGCCGUUUGAUAAGACUUAUUGAAAAAUGAAAGGCUCGGCGACCACUCCACAGCAUUUACAUAGAGAUGGGAAUCAGAGCGGAGGCUCCUGGAAUGGCUUACCUUCCACUGCCCUGGUUGAGAGGAUGAGGGAUGAGAACCGCACAGAUCCAGUUCUCUGGACCAGUUCCAGUUCGACCUCUCUUGGACACCAUCUUCUGAUAUUAGAAGGACUGGCUAAGAGGGGCUAGGUAGGGUUGAGUCAGUCUGAUACAGAUAGUGUAGUAGGUACUUGAUAUUAGGACUGGCUAAGAGGGGCUAGGUAGGGUUGAGUCAGUCUGAUACAGAUAGUGUAGUAGGUACUUGAUAUUAGGACUGGCUAAGAGGGGCUAGGUAGGGUUGAGUCAGUCUGAUACAGAUAGUGUAGUAGGUACUUGAUAUUAGGACUGGCUAAGAGGGGCUAGGUAGGGUUGAGUCAGUCUGAUACAGAUAGUGUAGUAGGUACUUGAUAUUAGGACUGGCUAAGAGGGGCUAGGUAGGGUUGAGUCAGUCUGAUACAGAUAGUGUAGUAGGUACUUGAUAUUAGGACUGGCUAAGAGGGGCUAGGUAGGGUUGAGUCAGUCUGAUACAGAUAGUGUAGUAGG